This 58-nucleotide transfer RNA is filed under the name Monodelphis domestica (gray short-tailed opossum). It matches the Rfam family "tRNA", at positions 8 to 63 of the family's 71-position model. Rfam says of the family: Transfer RNA (tRNA) molecules are approximately 80 nucleotides in length. The record is from Rfam by way of RNAcentral. Lineage: Eukaryota; Metazoa; Chordata; Mammalia; Didelphimorphia; Didelphidae.
UGGUGCAGUAGGUAGCCCAUCAGUCUCGCAAGCUGAAGGUCCUGAGUUUGAUCCUCAG